GAGGAUCAUAUUUUGAGCCCAUCACACAUUCAUGCAUGCCAUGCCAUUUUUCUUAGUUUGUUGUUUCAUUCAUUCAUUCAUGUAUUCAUCAAUACCUUCCACAGAUACCUAUUGAUCUGUUUUUACAGGCCCAUGUCACUAUUCUCAGGUUGUCAGUGGCUAUCUGUGUGACCCCCACCUCCCAAUCCCAUACCUUCUAGAGCAGCAGUCCCAACCUUUUAGGCAACAGGGACCAGUUUCAUGAAAGACCAUUUUUCCACAGACUAGGGCGGCAGGGGAUAGUUUAGGGAUGAUUCAAGUACAUUACAUUUAUUGUGCACUUUAUUUCUAUUAUUAUUACUUUGUAAUAUAUAAUGAAAUAAUUAUACAACUCACCAUAAGGCAAAAUCAGUGAGAGCCUUGAACUUGUUUUCUUGCAACUAGGCGAUCCCAUCUCGGAGUGAUGGGAGACAGUGACAGAUCAUCAAGCAUUAGAUUCUCACAAGGAGAGUGCAACCUAGAUCUCUGCCAUGCGCAGUUCACUAGAGGGUUCACGCUCCUAUGACAAUCAAGGUCGCCACUGAUCUGACAGGAGGCCAAGCUCAGGCAAUAAUGCUAGUGAUGGGGAGUGGCUGUAAAUACAGAUGAAGCUUGAUUUGCUUGCCUGCCACUCACCUCCUGCUGUGCGGCCUGGCUCCUAAUAGGCCAGUACUGGUCUGUGGCCCAAGGGUUGGGGACCCCUGCCCUAGAAGAGUUCUUCAUCUGUACUCAUGAAAAGUUGAUAAGUCACCUAAAUCACCUUUAAUAAGAGCCCAGUAAGUUGAGAUGUCACAAAAACAGAGCCAGAAAAAGAAUCUAUACCAUCUGCUACAGCCAGGACCAGCUACCUAAUUUACAAGUCUCAGCACAAAAUGAAAAUGUGGGGCCUCAGCCAGAUGUGGUGGCUCAUGCCUGUUAUCCCAGCACUUUAGGAGACCAAGGUGGGAAGAUUGCUCGGGCCCAAGAGGUUGAGGCUGCAGUGAGCCGUGAUUGCGCCACUGUACUCCAGCCUGGGCAAUAAAGCAAGACCCUGAAAAAAAAAAAGAAGAAAAGAAAAGAUGGGUAGGGAAAAAAGUGCCAUUAGAGGCACUAAACUACAAACUUUUCCUUUCUUCUGUGGUCUCUGUCUUGCCCUCUCUUGGUGUUUCUUAUUUACUGUUUGAUGCUAUGCUUCCUUGGGCACAGGGAUACUUACAGGGUGAGUGCAGACCCUCACAGGCACAGGGAGGGUGAGGAGUAGGAGGUGGGCUGCCCGUGACUGCAUAUCCAUGCACAGUUCACCAGCUCCAGGAGUCUUCCUCUGGCUAGACCACCAGACUGACAUGCCAUAUCUGCCCAGGGGCAAGGAUGAGGUGAGGCCGUCAAUCUUCCCUUCCCACAGGCCUGCUGCCCCAACCCAUGGCUGCUGGGAGACCUCCAGGGGAUUAAAUCUCCAUUCCAAAGCAGUCUCAGCACCUGGCUAGGGGAUGGCUGAGAGGCCAGUCCUGCUGCUGCUCAUCAAAGGCACCAUGGCGCUGCCAGCCCAGGGCAAGGAUGGCUGCCACCCUGCCUCUCCCCAAAAUGCCAUAGGGCACACCAGCUCAACCCCAAUUCUCCCUGUGCCCACAGCUAGGCCCUUACAGCAGGCAGAGGUCAGCAAGGAAGGGGAAGUCAGGUGGGGCCUGGGGAACCAGGAAGCGGGGAACAGGCAGCUGAGAAUUGUUCCAGGGAAGCAGGGAGAGGCAGACCACGCAUGGGCCAAGACUCCAAGCCCUCAGUGCAUGCUGCAUUGUCCCAUUGGACUUCACUUGCAAAGUGUAAAUGCAACGAAAAAAUUAUUAAGAAUUUCAAGACAAGGUGGGUGCAGUGGCACUUACCUGUAGUCCCAGCUACUCAGGAGGCUGAGGCGGGGGAAUCACUUGAGCCCAGGAAUUUGAGUCCAGCCUGGGAAGCAUAGCGAGACCUCCCACCUCAAAAAAACAGAAAAGAAUUCUAAGACAGUGUCAUAGAACAUUAGCCCCCCAGUGCAGGACCCUUUUGAACAGAGCUCUUCUGAGCACGAGGCCCUGUCUAUGCCUGAUGCACACCCACGAAACCGACCUUGGCUCCAGCUUUCAAUGCGAACUUCUUACAGUUUAGGUCCUCUGCGAAGUCACUUGCUUCCAGUAGCUCCUAUCAGAGCUGAGCUGAGGCCUUAGACUGGGGUUAAAAGAGAGGUGAAGUUUCCCGCUGCAGCACUAAACACAUCACUGAAGGCCUACGGAGUAAUCCUUGAGCAUCCCCUGACUCAGAGCACUGCCACCGCAUCAGCUUCUUCCAGAUGCCAAGAAGCACCUCUGGGUCUUGGGGUUCCGGCUUGUUUGUGUCACAAGUAAUAACUUGUAUUUUAUUUGCUUUUAAAAACUGGAUAUGCUCCCACUUCUCAGCCUCUACAAUGAGACCUGUGUUUCGUGUUUUUCAGUGUGCCUUUGAGAAAGGCCCAUAAACCUAUAAACACCCUUUUUCUCCCCAAGGUGAGGUUUGACCCUAGUACUUACUACCACUGUUUACUGGAGAGUCAUGUUGAGAACAUCUCCUUUAGGCUCUAUUUCUCAUCCUAAGGGAUAUAUCCAGCCUUCAUUAUGGAAGGUUUUGAAGGCCUCAAAUAAAAUCAAAGUAGAAUUUGAAUAAAACAUCUUGGCUGGGCACGGUGGCUCGCAUCUGUAAUCCCAGCACUUUGGGAGGCUGAGGUGGGCGGGUCACAAGGUCAGGAGAUCAAGAACAUCCUGGCUAACACGGUGAAACCCCCAUCUCUGCUAAAAAUACAAAAAUCAGCUGGGCGUGGUGGCGCGUGCCUGUAGUCCCAGCUACUCGGGAGGCUGAGGCAGGAGAAUCGCUUGAACCAGGGAGUCGGAGGUUGCAGUGAACCGAGAUCACACCACUGCACUCCAGCCUGGCGACAGAGAGACUCUGUCUCAAAUAAAUAAAUAAAACAUCUUAAAGAAAUAGAAAAUACUAGUAGAGUAUUCACUCUGAUUUCAGAAUCAAUUUGUGGAAAUUCAGUUUCACAAGAAUGAAAAAAGCCCCCUAAGCAAGGUAGCUUUUUUUUUUUUUUUUAAAGAUGGGGUCUCACUAUGUUUUCCAGACUGAUCUCAAACUCCUGGGCUCAAGCAAUCCUCCUCCCUCAGCCUCCUGAGUGGCUGGGACUACAGGUACACAUCACCACCACCCUGCUAGGAUAUGGUAGCUUUUUAACCAAAACACACCACCAUGCAAUGGAGAGCAUGUAACUUGUUAUUUGGUCAUACAAAUACAUCAGAAUAAAUUCCACCUCUCUUGUGGAGCCCUUUUUCCUACAUCUGCACAGAAACUGGCACUAGCAGGACUGCAACCGAGGCAGACUCGAGAAUUAGCAGACUCUGGCUCAGGCAGGACAAUAGAGCAGCGGGAAAUUUCUUUCAAGGGCUUUUGUUGCUGUUGUUGAGAUGGAAUCUUGCUGUGUCACCCAGGCUGGAGUGCAGUGGUGCUGUCUCGGCUCACUGCAAUCUCCGCCUCCCAGGUUUAAACGAUUCUCCUGCCUCAGCCUCUCAAGUAGCUGCGAUUACAGGCAUGUGCCACCAUGCCCAGCUAAUUUUUGCAUUUUUGGUAGAGAUGGGGUUUCACUAUGUUGCUCAGGGAGGUCUCGAAACUCCUGACCUCAGGUGAUCCGCCCACCUCGGCCUCCCAAAGUGUUGAGAUUACAGGCAUGAGCCACUGCGCCCGGCUUGAGACCUUGAGGGGCUUUUUAACCAAGAGAUGGUGUAGGGACAGAAGCCAGCAAGAAGAACAUGGUGGACUCUCUGUGAGGCCCCAAACCCCAAAUCAUGAGCCUCCGCCCCCUGAAAGUAUUCCAGGAUCUCUGAGGGAGGUUUUGGGAGGGGGCCAAGGUCCUGCAAUUGGGUGGGUGGGGCUCCAAGCCAUUGUUCUUUGCACAUUCAUGCCAAUGUGACCUAAUUGGCUAAGCACAGGCUGGAGAAGCUAGAUAAACCUAUUUAAAUUCAGAGCCAAAAGACACUCAAGGAUGUUUUCUGAGGGGGUGUGAGGGUUGGAAAAUCAUCCUAUAUUUGAUUUAUCUCCCACCUCAUGUCCUGAGUCAAUUCCUUAGUCUUAGAUGAGGGAGACGACUUGGGAGUCAUCCUUGUUUUUGAUGAGCUAUAUAACCCUAUGGCCAGCAGAGGGAAGUACUGCAUUUCAGAGCGACAAUUUGAGAUCUAUGAAAGAAUUUCAAUCGAGAAUAAGAGGCCGGGCGCGGUGGCUCACGCCUGUAAUCCCAGCUCUCAGGGAGGCUAAGAGGCGGGAGGAUAGCUUGAGCCCAGGAGUUCGAGACCUGCCUGGGCAAUAUAGCGAGACCCCGUUCUCCAGAAAAAGGAAAAAAAAAAACAAAAGACAAAAAAAAAAUAAGCGUAACUUCCCUCAAAGCAACAACCCCCCCCCCCCUUUUCAUAUUCUUGCCUGGAAGAAAGGCCUUGCUUUCCUCAGCUUCUUAAAGCUGGGAGAAGUUAAAGCCAUUCUGAAAUGCUGCUGCUACUGCUAUAUGUGGGGGAGAAAGCAAAUUUUCUUUUUACUUUUUUAAUCAGUAUUUAUUUUAAGUUCGAGGGUACAUGUGCAGGAUGUGCAGGUUUGUUACAUAGGUAAACGUGUGCCAUGGUGGUUUGCUGCACAGGUCAACCCAUCACCUAGGUAUUAAACCCAGCAUCCAUUAGCUAUUCUUCCUGAUGCUGUCCCUCCUCCCACCCCACCAACAGGACCCCAAAUUUUCUUUCUUUUUUUUUUUUUUUUUUUUUUGAGAUGGAGUCUAGCUCUGUCACCCAGUCUGGAAUGUAAUAGCUCAAUCUCGGCUCACUGUAACCUCCAUCUCCCAGGUUCAAGUGAUUCUCCUGCCUCAGCCUUCCAAGUAACUGGGAUUACAGGCAUGCACUACCAUGCCUGGCUAAUUUUUGUAUUUUUAGUAGAGACGGGGUUUCACCAUGUUGGCCAGGCUGGUCUCAAACUCCUGACCUCAAAUGAUCCGCCUGCCUCAGCCUCCCAAAGUACUGGGAUUACAGCUGUGAGCCACCGUGCCCAGCCUCCAAAUUUUCUUAUUUCCAUGGCCUUGAGCAAAAUUAUACCAUCCUAGACAAACACACACACACACACACACACACACCAUUCUCCCCCUCUUGCUGUCUUUCUCAGAUAUGAGUCUCUCCUCCAAUGGCCAUUUUAAGCUUGCUCUUUUGCUCUGUAAUACAAGGCCUGUUCCCUGUUAAAAGGAAUGUCAGGCAUCUGUGAGCAGGUAGGGAAAACAUUGCAGGAGGCAAGUAAACUUCUCAGCAUACCUGCCAUCAUUCAUACCUUGAAGGCAGGUCAAGCCUGUAGCGUCUGAGUCUUCCAUCCCUGAAGCACCAGCAGCUCUGACUAGAGGUCCUGUCUCCCAGCUGUGGCCCCAGCUCUCCCUGAUGGUGACAGUUGCGACUUCCAAACUUGCUCCUCCCCAUAUCUGUAACUGAGCCCAGCGUACAUUUGCCUCAUGGGUGCCAUUGGACUUCCUUUGUGAGCCAUGUUUUCUUUCACCUUGUCCCAAUCCACAGUUAACCAAAUCUUGGCCCAAAUUAUGUGCUGGCUGGUGUUGGGCAGCUGUGAGACCCCUCCUUGCCCCAUCUCUGUCUUCUAGGCUCUUCUGAGAACCAGUGUCCUUUGAGAUCUCAGAUGGGAUUUAGAGGAGGGUUUCCACCCAGACCACUUUCCACAAAUUUCACUUCUGCAUUUCAUCUGGUAGGGUGUGGUUUUCAACUAGAAGCCCAAAUGAGGAAGAAAAAAAUUCAUUCACCAUUCAGGACAGGGUGUUCACAUUUGAACCAGGCAGAAAUAGCUGAAAGAAACUGAAUUCUAAAGGGACUCUCAGCUUUUGGGGGAGACAUAUUUGAGUGCAGGAGGCUAGACCACCCACUGGCUGGCUCUUUGCUCCUCACUGAGGCCAGCCUUGACUCUAAACAGAUAACACAGGGCCAAAACACACCCAGCCAGCUUUGAUAAGCAACCGUCUCUGCCAAACAGUUUCUUUCACAGGGCCCAGAUGAUCUCAUCACAGAGGCUGCAUUCUCUGGUAUCUGUUCCAAGCACAGACUCACUUCUCAUUACCUUUGCAAAUAAUAGUCAAUCUAUCCUGAGAAGCUCCUUUAUAUCCCAUACUGGGCUAAGGUCUGAAGAGGGUACAGUUAAAGAACCCAUGAUCUCAGACUGGGCAUGGCAGCUCAUGCCUAUAAUCCCAGCACUUUUGGGAGGCCAAGGCAGGAGGACCGCUUUAGCCCAGGAGUCCAAGACCAGCCUGGGCAACAUAGUGAGAACUCUUGAGACCUUGUCUCUACAAAAAAUAAACAAAAUUAGCCAUGCAUGGUGGCUUGCACCUGCCUGUAGGAAGCUGAAGCAGGUGAGCCUGGGACGCAAAGGUUGCAGUGAGCCAAAAUCGCACCACUGCACUCCAGCCUGCGCGACAGAGACUGUCUCACAAAAAAGAAAAGAAAAGAAAAAAAAAAAAGGACCCAUGAUUCCUCAUGAAGCUUGCCUCUGGAUCUAAUUCAUGGUUCUCUAUUUCCACAAGCUUUGUGGAGCAAGGGGCUCAUGACACUUCAUCUUUAUGGUACAGAUAACUCACCGAAACUGGAUUCCUUUAGCUACUGGUCCCACACCACUCCCUCCAGGAGCCACCUUCCCUCUCCAUGUUUUUCUCAUGAAUUUUGAACCGGCCAUUUCUAUUUUAUUUUAUUUUACAUUUAUUUAUUUAUUUAUGGAGACAGAGUUUCACUCUUGUCACCCAGGCUGGAGUGCAGUGAUGCUAUCUUGGCUCACUCCAACCUCCACCUCCCAGGUUCAAGUGGUUCUCCUGCCUCAGCCUCCCAAGUAGCUGGGAGUACAGGCACGUGCCACCACACUCGGCUAAUUUUUGUAUUUUUAGUAGAGACGGGAUUUCUCCAUGUUGGCCAGGCUGAUCUCGAACUCCUGACCUCAGGUGAUCCACCCGUCUCGGCCUCCUAAAGUGCUAGGAUUACAGGUGUGAGCCACUGCGCCCAGCCAAAAUAAAAAUAGAUUUUAAAAAUGAAAAUAAAAAUAACAUAAUAAGAUGAACACCACCUCGGUGAUCUGUGGGAUAGUAUCAAGUGGUCUAACAUAAUUGGAGCCCCCCCAAAAUGAGGGAAGGCUAAAAAAAAAAAGCCAAAAUUUUUCUAAACUUGAAACUGUUUAAAGCAAAAAAUAAUAACAAUGCCUUAUGAGGUUUAUAACAUAUGUAGAAAUAAAAUGAAUAAUCAUAAUAGCCCAUCAGGGGGCUGAGGUGGGAGGAUUGCCUGAGCCCAGGAGUUUAAGGCUGUGAUGCACUAUGAUCAUGCCUGUGAAUGGCCUCUGCACUCCAGCCUGGACAACAUAGUGAGACUCUGUCUCCAAAGAAAAAAUGGAGGAAAAAAGAAAAAGAAAAAGAAAGAAAAUAAUGGCCCAAAGGAUAGAAGAGAAGAAAUGAGAAUAGACUGUUAUAAAGCUCUUCGAUUUUGUGUGGAGGAGUAUAAUAACAUUUGAAGGUAUUCUGGGUUAAGCAGUUUAUCCGAGGUGUCACAUAUGAUGGAGCUAGGAUCCAAAUUAAGCUUUCCAGAUUCAAAGCUUUUUGUGGGGAGAGGAGAUGUGAGGUUAGGCUCACACAUGCCACAAGACAGUUUCCCCAAAGGCUGCGGGAAUUAAGUGCUUUCAUCUCUGUAGUGGGUAUUCCCUCAAAAGACGUGUUCAAGUCCUAACCUCCAUACCCAAGAGAGUCAGCUUACUUGGAAAUAGGCUCUUUGCAGACGUAAUCAAGUCAUACUGAGUUAGGGUAAAGCCUAACCCAAUGACUGGUGUCCUUAUUAUAAAGGGGGGGGUGCGGUACCAGGUGUGGUGGCUCACAUCUGUAAUCCCAACACUUUGGGAGGCCAAGGCCAGUGGAUCACCUGAGGUCAGGAGUUCAAGACCAGCCUGGCCAACAUGGUGAAACCCUGUCUCUACUAAAAAUACAAAAAUUAGCCGGGCAUGGUGGCAGGCACCUGUAGUCCCAGCUACUCGGGAGGCUGAGGCAGGAGAAUCACCGGAGCCCGGGAGACAGAGAUUGCAGUUAGCCGAGAUUGCACCAUUGCACUCCAGCCUGGGUGACAGAGCAAGACUCCAUCUCAAGAAAAAAAAAAAAAAAAAAAAGGACAUUUGAACACAGAGAAGACACACAGGGAAAAUGCCAUGCAAUGAUAGAUAUCUAUAAGCUGAGGAACACGCCCAGAAGUAAGAAAGAGGCAAGGAAGGCUCUCUGAGAGCCUUCAGAGAGUGUGAGGCCCUGCCCAACACCUAGAUUUUGGACUUCUGACCUUCAGAACCAGAGAGAAUAUAUUUCUGGGUUUUGUUUGUUUUUUUGUUUUUCUGAGAUGGAGUUUUGCUCUUGUUGCCCAGGCUGGAGUGCAGUGGCAUGAUUUUGGCUCACCGCAAUCUCCACCUCCCAGGUUCAAGCGAUUCUCCUGCCUCAGCCUCCCAAGUAGCUGGGAUUACAGGCGCCCGCCACCAUGCCCGGCUAAUUUUUUCGUAUUUUCAGUAGAGAUGGGGUUUCUCCAUGUUGGUCAGGCUGGUCUCGAACUCCUGACCUCAGGUGAUCCUCCCACCUCAGCCUCCCAAACUGCUAGGAUUACAGGCAUGAGCCACCAUGCCCGGCCAUAUUUCUGUUGUUUUAAGCCACCUUGUCUGUGGCAUUUUGUUACAGCAGCCCUAGGGAACUAAUACAAUCUCUAAAACUUCCUCUUUUUGAUGCUCCCAGUCUUUAGAAUGUAAAGAAGCUCCGCCCCUACCCAUGCAUGGGCCAAGUAUAAAGUGAGUGUUGAUAGCAGGAUAUUAAGUUGACAAAAUAAACCAGAUUCAGGAUCUAAGAGCCACAGGGGAAAAUCAUGAAGUGGGGACUGGUUGGACUGGUUUUUCUCAUAAAUCUCAAUGACUUUGAUCCCAACCAGGUGGAAUUUUAAAGUUAAUUGAUUUAGGGAGGAACACCUGAGCAGCUGCACCGUGUGUGAGCCCUGUGCUAGGCCCAGUGGGGAAGCCAGGUGAGUCAGGUGCUGCUGCCUUACGGGAGCUCAUAGGAUUCGCCUCUACAGAAGGUGUGAUGGAACAGGUCAGUCACUAGCCAAGGUGUGAGUAACAGGCUGUGCAAGUUCAAAAUCAAGAGAGUGAUUCAUUUCCCCUGGGGGAGCAUCAGCCAGACUGCUUCACUGAGGAGAAGGCAGUGGCGACAUCUCUCUAAAUAUCUGACUGUGGAAUCCAUAGCCCAGAGAAGGUCUUGUGUGUCGAUUAGAGACAAGCAAAGGAAAACAAAUCUACCAGGAAUGCUGGUGUUUUCCUGGAGAGUGUUUCACUGAUCACGGGGUAGUGCUCUUUGCUCAGUGGAGAGGUACAAAGCUGUCUAGCCCCUGCUUGCUCUGAGGGGGAAUUCUCUGGGCUCUCGGAACCUCUUAUUUUCCCUUCUGGUUCUCCACUUGGGGUGAGUGCUUAUCACCACCUUCUGUAGAGAUUGAGGAAAGUGGAGAAGGUACACAGAGGCUUUGGAGUUGCUAGCGAUCUCAAUGACAUCUUGUAAGAGAGCUGGUGGCUCAAGAAGGAGAGAGCAGGCCCUUGUGUUGCAUUUGCAGGAUCUGGGGCAAUAGUACAGCCCACAUAUCUAAGCUCCAUUUACGUUGCCAAAAAUAGCAUAGGCCACACAUCUAAGCUCCAUCUACAUUGACACUCCAUGACCCCACGUGGGCCACCCCAGUGUCAUGGCCCAGUCUGGAGAAGUGACCCUGCGAAAAAGCUGUGUAUGCCCUGUAGGUAGACUUGACCCUUCUGUGCAAGAAAUUUUGAUGUCCUGCGAGCACCCAGAAUGGUCUAGGAGAGAGGGAACAGGCUCCAGUGGACAUAUUCUCUUCGCCCUGUUGACUCCCUCCUCCAUGGGAAGAGACUUGGCUUAAACAAGCCUAGAGCAGGUCUGUUUAAGGUCUGGGGCCCUGAGUAGGAAUCUACUUACCCACGUCGAAGGUAGAAUUGGGAAGAAGCACUGUUAUAAACUCAACAGAAAGUGAUACUGAGUUUCAUUUUUUUUUUUUUUUUUUUUUUUGGAGACAGUCUUGCUCAGUCGCCCAAGCUGGAGUGCAGUGGUGUGAUCUCGGCUCACUGCAAGCUCCGCCUCCUGGGUUCACGCCAUUCUCCUGCCUCAGCCUCCUGAGUAGCUGGGACUACAGGCGCCCACCACCACGCCUGGCUAAUUUUUGUGUUUUUAGUAGAGACGGGGUUUCACCAUGUUGGCCAGGAUGGUCUCUAUCUCCUGACCUCGUGAUCCGCCCGCCUCGGCCUCCCAAAAUGCUGAGAUUACAGGUGUGAGCCACUGCACCUGGCCAAUACUGAGUUUCUUGGUUUUGCUCUGGAACUAGACUAAUGAAUUCCAAUCCUCAUGGAAGCCCUGUGUGAAGCAUUUCAUGGAGAAAAAUUUGUAUGAUGCAGUGGUUUGCAAAUGGGGGAAAUUUGGCAUACAGUGACAUUUGGUGAUGUCUAUAGGCAUUUUGCAUUGUCAUAAUUGGAGGAUACUGCAAGACGUCUGGUGGGUAGAGGCCAGGGAUAUUGCAAAAUAUCCUACUAUGUUGCCCUGCAGGAUAGCACCCCAUAAGAAACAAUGAUUUUGGCCGGGCAUGGUGGCGCACGCCUGUAAUUCCAACAGUUUGGGAGGCCGAGGAGGGCAGAUCACUUGAGGUUAGGAGUUUGAAACCAGCCUGGACAACAUGGUGAAACCCCAUCUCUACUAAAAAUACAAAUAAAUUAGCCGGGUGUGGUGGCAGGCACCUGUAAUCCCAGCUACUCUGGAGGCUGCGGCAGGAGAAUUGCUUGAACGGGGAGGUGGAGGUUGCAGUAAGCCGAGAUCGUGCCACUGUACUCUACCCUGGGCAACAGAGCAAGACUCCGUCUCUAAAUAAAUAAAUAAAUAAAAAUAAAAUAAAAUAAAAGAAACAAUGAUUUGGCCCCAAAUAUCAAUAGUGCUGAGGUUUGAGAAAUGAAUUUUUAGUACCCUUAGCACAUGGUUUGGACUUGUUUGCUGCAGGAUGCUGGGCCUGGAAGAUAUAAGAUUGCAAGUAGCCACGGCUCCUAAAGAAUGACUGAGUGGCUGCUUCCAGAAAAGUAGGUCAGAAUCAGCAGAAAAACAACUUAAUGAGGCCGGGCGCGGUGGCUCACGCCUGUAAUCCCAGCACUUUGGGAGGUCGAGGCGGGUGGAUCACGAGGUCAGGAGUUCGAGACCAGCCUGGCCAACAUGGUGAAACCCCGUCUCUACUAAAAACACAAAAAUUAGCCAGGCGUGGUGGUGGGCGCCUGUAGUCCCAGCUACUCGGGAGGCUGAGGCAGAAGAAUUGCUUGAACCCCGGAGGCGGAGAUAGAUGGCAGUGAGCCAAGACUGUGCCACUGCACUCCAGCCUGGGCAACAGAGCACGACUCCAUGUCAAAACAAAACAAAAAAAAAAUUAAUGGUGUACUUGGGACUAUACUAUCAGCCUCAACAAAUAGACUUGGGGCCCAGCAGCUGUGCCAAGCUCCCGAAGACCCACCAGCCUGAACUGUCCAUCCCUUUUCCUCAUGCAACUUUGCCACCCACAUCACCCACCAUCCCUCACCUUUGGUCUUCACUGGGGCAGCUCUCCAUUCAACUAACUCCCCCGCGCUUAAGUUAAUUAUCUGAGUUUUCUUUGCAGCUUAAUACUUACCAGGCCUCAUGGUGUCUACUCUUCUUUUUUCUUUUUUUUCCCAGACAGAGUUUUGCUCUUAUUGCCCAGGCUGGGGUGCAAUGGUGCCAUCUCGGCUCACUGCAACCUCCGCCUCCCAGGUUCAAGCGAUUCUCCUGCCUCAGCCUCCCGAGUAGCUGGAAUUAUAGGCAUGUGCCACCACGCCCGGGUAAUUAUGUAUUUUUAGUAGAGAAGGGGUUUCUUUCAUGUUGGUCAGGCUGGUCUCAAACUCCCAACCUCAGGUGAUCAACCUGCCUCAGCCUCCCACAGUACUGGGAUUACAGAAAUGAGCCAUUGCACCUGGCCCAGUGUCUACUUUUCUUUAUCAGGCUAAACAGCUCAGGACACAGAUAGAAUUUGGACUUAGGUCCGUGUGAAUCCAAAGGGCCAUGCUCAACUGAGCAGCCGGCACUGCCUCGCUGAACAGCCAGGAUUCUGGGAGUGCUACUUUGUACAACAUUUUAUGAAAUGUUUCUGGCCUCCUUCUAGACCAGAGCAGAAAGGGGUGGUUAGGAUGUUCUAAAUACCAACCCCCUCUACUCCAUCCCCAGGUUCAUGACAACUUUUUAAGCUGAGCAUACUGCAAUCACUUAAUUCUUCUAGACCUAAGAUAAGCCAGUAGCCACGUCCACUCUGAGCCUGUGAGCAGGCAGGAUCAAGUCUAAGAGCAUCUCUUCUUUGGAAUCUUAAGGCCUAGGAUCCCAGCAGUUUUGGGGUCUAAAGACUUUUCAGGCUCCCGAAACUCCCUCUAUUUUUAAUAAUUUUAAAUGUUUCCCCAAUACUUAGCUAAGCAAAGAAGGAAAAAGUGUACUUUUAUUACACAGUCAGUUCUGGAUAAUUCUAGGGGAAAUUCUUCCAUUUUAGAAAUCUCUGCUUUCUUCUUUUCUCCCAGAUUCUUCUCAUUAAUUCCCUCAGUAAAUAUUUGUCUGUGGCAGGGUGCAGUGCUCGUGCCUGUAAUCCCAGCACUUUUGGAGGCUGAGGUGGACGAAUCACCUGAGGUCAGGAGUUUGAAACCAGCCUGGCCAUCAUGGUGAAACCUCGUCUCUACUAACAGCACAAAAAUUAGCUGGGCAUGGUGGUGCGUGCCUGUAAUCCCAGCUACUUGGGAGGCUGAGGCAGGAGAAUUGCUUGAACCAGGAGGCGGAGGUUGCAGUGAGCCAAGAUCACGCCACUGCAUGCCAGCCUGGGUGACAGAGCAAGACUCUGUCUCGGGAAAAAAAAAAAAAAAAAACUAUAUAUACAUACAUACAUAUAUAUAUAUAUAUAUAUAAAAUGUACAUAUAUAUUUAUCUGGCACCUACUAGAUGCCCCAGGUACCAUGGUAGGCACAGGUGUACAGUGAUGAAGAGCAUUUUCCUAUAAAAUAUUACCCAGGCUGACUCCAAGUUUUAAUACCUCAGGUAGGAAAAGGAGGAGAGUGUUAGUAAAAUGUUUGCCGUUGAAUUUCACCAGCGUAAAAACAACAUUCUGGGAAAUAAUUAUCUGCACUUCAGUUCUUUGGGGUGGUACCGGAGGGAAUCUUUACAAAGGUGGUAUUAAUGGAGAAGAGGAAGGGAAGGAUCCUUAGUGAUGGGUUGUUUUUCCAAGCACCUCGAUCUAGUGGAUUUCCUUUUUUUUUUUUUGAGAUGGAGUUUCGUUUUUGUCGCCCAGGCUGGAGUGCAAUGGCGCGAUCUCG
This 13458-nucleotide long non-coding RNA is filed under the name Homo sapiens (human). RNAcentral's name for it is "non-protein coding lnc-EPCAM-8:2". Lineage: Eukaryota; Metazoa; Chordata; Mammalia; Primates; Hominidae. The record is from RNAcentral.